Molecule: ribosomal RNA, 292 nt
Filed under: uncultured Bacteroidota bacterium
Lineage: Bacteria; Pseudomonadati; Bacteroidota
Description: uncultured Bacteroidetes bacterium partial 16S ribosomal RNA
Source: RNAcentral
GGACUACCCGGGUUUCUAAUCCUGUUCGCUACCCACGCUUUCGUCCAUCAGCGUCAAUCCAUUAGUAGUAACCUGCCUUCGCAAUUGGUAUUCCAUGUAAUCUCUAAGCAUUUCACCGCUACACUACAUAUUCUAGUUACUUCCUAAUAAUUCAAGUUCAGCAGUAUCAAUGGCCGUUCCACCGUUGAGCGAUGGGCUUUCACCACUGACUUACUAAACCGCCUACGGACCCUUUAAACCCAAUGAUUCCGGAUAACGCUUGGAUCCUCCGUAUUACCGCGGCUGCUGGCAC